This 497-nucleotide ribosomal RNA is filed under the name uncultured bacterium. Its description in RNAcentral is "partial 16S ribosomal RNA". It matches the Rfam family "Bacterial small subunit ribosomal RNA", at positions 28 to 507 of the family's 1533-position model. The record is from RNAcentral.
GACGAACGCUGGCGGCGUGCCUAAUACAUGCAAGUUGAGCGCUGAAGGUUGGUACUUGUACCAACUGGAUGAGCAGCGAACGGGUGAGUAACGCGUGGGGAAUCUGCCUUUGAGCGGGGGACAACAUUUGGAAACGAAUGCUAAUACCGCAUAAAAACUUUAAACACAAGUUUUAAGUUUGAAAGAUGCAAUUGCAUCACUCAAAGAUGAUCCCGCGUUGUAUUAGCUAGUUGGUGAGGUAAAGGCUCACCAAGGCGAUGAUACAUAGCCGACCUGAGAGGGUGAUCGGCCACAUUGGGACUGAGACACGGCCCAAACUCCUACGGGAGGCAGCAGUAGGGAAUCUUCGGCAAUGGACGAAAGUCUGACCGAGCAACGCCGCGUGAGUGAAGAAGGUUUUCGGAUCGUAAAACUCUGUUGGUAGAGAAGAACGUUGGUGAGAGUGGAAAGCUCAUCAAGUGACGGUAACUACCCAGAAAGGGACGGUUAACUACGUG